AAUAGCCUCAAGGAUUGUCAGCCAAUUGUGGGCUACGCAGGAUGGAGAGCUGUUUUUCACUGUCUUAGGGGCCAGAGUUUCAUGGCCCUCGGCUAAAGGGAUCCCGUUACAUUGUGAAGGGAAUUAUGCACACAAGUUCCAGGCCUGUUCUCUGAGAUUCUUAUGAGGUUGCUCUGGCAUGGAACGUGGGAAGCGGAAUUUUAACAAUUUCUCCAGUGAUUCUGUUGCUUGACCAUUUGGGGGAAUCCCCAGGGAGGCUGCUGGUUCCCAGAUUGUGGGCCAUGACUCCCAAGGUUUGCCAGGAAAGACGCUGUCUCAAGAGUAUCAAGAAGCAGAGGCUUCCCAGACCUCAACUCCUGGACUCCCGGUGCUCGAACCUGUCUCAAACAAGAAGACGAGACAAUGGCGAAGGACGCCCACCUGCCAUCCUCCUGUCUCACCCUCCCCCCUGCCUUGCUGCAAGCAGCCUCUCAAGGCCAAACGCAGGCUGGUGGGAAACCACCGAGCUGCACAAGC
Molecule: long non-coding RNA, 516 nt
Filed under: Equus asinus (donkey)
Lineage: Eukaryota; Metazoa; Chordata; Mammalia; Perissodactyla; Equidae
Description: lncRNA (ENSEASG00005037795.1)
Source: RNAcentral